CAGUGCACAAAUCUGUAACAGGGUAAAUUACCCUUAAUCGAUAAGUCACCAGAGAUCGAUAACUUUUCGACUAGCAUUUGAGCGCAUCGAUCUUCGGGACUAGAGAGAGAG
Cotesia glomerata is the source of this 111-nucleotide long non-coding RNA. RefSeq lists it as uncharacterized. Lineage: Eukaryota; Metazoa; Arthropoda; Insecta; Hymenoptera; Braconidae. The transcript is spliced from 3 exons. The record is from RefSeq and is a predicted model, not a curated record.